Pongo abelii (Sumatran orangutan) is the source of this 96-nucleotide small nuclear RNA. The record is from Ensembl. Lineage: Eukaryota; Metazoa; Chordata; Mammalia; Primates; Hominidae.
GCUAACUUCGGCAGCACGUAUUGGAAUGGUAAGAGAAAAUCAGCAUGGCCCCUGUGCAAGGCUGACAUGAAAAUGUGUAAAGCAUUCCAUUUUUAA